This 1396-nucleotide ribosomal RNA is filed under the name uncultured bacterium. Its description in RNAcentral is "16S ribosomal RNA". It matches the Rfam family "Bacterial small subunit ribosomal RNA". The record is from RNAcentral.
AGAGUUUGAUCCUGGCUCAGAUUGAACGCUAGCGGGAUGCUUUACACAUGCAAGUCGAACGGCAGCACGAGAGAGCUUGCUCUCUUGGUGGCGAGUGGCGGACGGGUGAGUAAUAUAUCGGAACGUGCCCAGUAGCGGGGGAUAACUACUCCAAAGAGUGGCUAAUACCGCAUACGCCCUACGGGGGAAAGGGGGGGAUCGCAAGACCUCUCACUAUUGGAGCGGCCGAUAUCGGAUUAGCUAGUUGGUGGGGUAAAGGCUCACCAAGGCAACGAUCCGUAGCUGGUUUGAGAGGACGACCAGCCACACUGGGACUGAGACACGGCCCACACUCCUACGGGAGGCAGCAGUGGGGAAUUUUGGACAAUGGGGGAAACCCUGAUCCAGCCAUCCCGCGUGUAUGAUGAAGGCCUUCGGGUUGUAAAGUACUUUUGGCAGAGAAGAAAAGGCAUCCCCUAAUACGGGAUGCUGCUGACGGUAUCUGCAGAAUAAGCACCGGCUAACUACGUGCCACCAGCCGCGGUAAUACGUAGGGUGCAAGCGUUAAUCGGAAUCCUGGGGGUAAAGAGUGUGUGGGGGGGUCGGAGAAAGAAAGAUGAAAUCCCAGAGGUCUAACCUUGGGACUGCAUUUUUAACUUCCGGUGUAGGGUAUGUCAGGAGGGGGGAGGAUUUCACGGGUAGCAAUGAAAUUGGUAGAUAUUGGGAGGAAUACCGUGGGCGAAGGCAGCCCCCUGGGAUAAUACUGACGCUCAGACACGAAAGCGUGGGGAGCAAACAGGAUUAGAUACCCUGGUAGUCCACGCCCUAAACGAUGUCAACUAGCUGUUGGGGCCGUUAGGCCUUAGUAGCGCAGCUAACGCGUGAAGUUGACCGCCUGGGGAGUACGGUCGCAAGAUUAAAACUCAAAGGAAUUGACGGGGACCCGCACAAGCGGUGGAUGAUGUGGAUUAAUUGGAUGCAACGCGAAAAACCUUACCUACCCUUGACAUGUCUGGAAUGCCGAAGAGAUUUGGCAGUGCUCGCAAGAGAACCGGAACACAGGUGCUGCAUGGCUGUCGUCAGCUCGUGUCGUGAGAUGUUGGGUUAAGUCCCGCAACGAGCGCAACCCUUGUCAUUAGUUGCUACGCAAGAGCACUCUAAUGAGACUGCCGGUGACAAACCGGAGGAAGGUGGGGAUGACGUCAAGUCCUCAUGGCCCUUAUGGGUAGGGCUUCACACGUCAUACAAUGGUCGGGACAGAGGGUCGCCAACCCGCGAGGGGGAGCCAAUCUCAGAAACCCGAUCGUAGUCCGGAUCGCAGUCUGCAACUCGACUGCGUGAAGUCGGAAUCGCUAGUAAUCGCGGAUCAGAGUGUCGCGGUGAAUACGUUCCCGGGUCUUGCACUCACCGCCCGUCA